GAUGAACGCUGGCGGCGUGCUUAACACAUGCAAGUCGAACGAAGCACUUUAUUUGAUUUCCUUCGGGACUGAUUAUUUUGUGACUGAGUGGCGGACGGGUGAGUAACGCGUGGGUAACCUGCCUUGUACAGGGGGAUAACAGUUGGAAACGGCUGCUAAUACCGCAUAAGCGCACGGCAUCGCAUGAUGCAGUGUGAAAAACUCCGGUGGUAUAAGAUGGACCCGCGUUGGAUUAGCUAGUUGGUGAGGUAACGGCCCACCAAGGCGACGAUCCAUAGCCGACCUGAGAGGGUGACCGGCCACAUUGGGACUGAGACACGGCCCAAACUCCUACGGGAGGCAGCAGUGGGGAAUAUUGCACAAUGGGCGAAAGCCUGAUGCAGCGACGCCGCGUGAGCGAAGAAGUAUUUCGGUAUGUAAAGCUCUAUCAGCAGGGAAGA
This 440-nucleotide ribosomal RNA is filed under the name uncultured bacterium. RNAcentral describes it as "bacterial SSU rRNA". It matches the Rfam family "Bacterial small subunit ribosomal RNA", at positions 28 to 448 of the family's 1533-position model. The record is from RNAcentral.